AUUGUCUUUUUGGUCAAGGCUCUCUAUGGAAGGUUCAGCAACUGAGGGAGCGGACUUAAAUGAGUAAGCAGCUGAUGAGCCAAAAAGAUGCAAAACAUUAUCAGGCAGCUGGUGCUCAUAGCAAGCCUCACCAGACAGCUUCAGUCCAUAUCGAAUGUACAGGAUGGAGUUAAGGGUCUGCAAGGACAUCCCAUUUCUAGUUAUGCUUUUUACCACACUCAUCUGGCGGAAUACUCUCUCGACUUCAGCAUUCGAGUGUGGCAAGGACAUCACAGACACAGCAGCCAUGGCACAAGGUGGAGCUCAGCUGCCUUUGAACUCAAAGGUAACCAAGGUACAGUUUGGGACUGAUGUAUCCAUCUAUUGGCUCUUUGAGUACAUCAACAUUUCCCAGUGGAUUCAGCACCCUGCUGGUCAGAGACUUGAUCAGGCUUACCAAGCUGGCAAGUAGCUUAAGAGGAUCUACUUGCUCUCACCCAGCACUACUGUACCUCACUGAUGGACUGUCUGAGCUUGGUGCCGACCUGACUAGAGAUUUGGGAGAGAACGGGGAGUACAUCUCAAGGACAAGGUCACCAUCUCUGUCGGCUGGGUAGUGAGACAGUGUGUGCGUGGCAGGACGUUUGUGUGUGUGUGUGUGUGUGUGAAGUCAGUAUAAAAUGAAUUGUAUUCUUUACUUUGAACGUUCUGUGAAUAAACAUUUAACUACUUUA
Oncorhynchus tshawytscha (Chinook salmon) is the source of this 713-nucleotide long non-coding RNA. The record is from Ensembl. NCBI's taxonomy places the organism in Eukaryota, Metazoa, Chordata, Actinopteri, Salmoniformes, Salmonidae.